This is a non-coding RNA of Macaca mulatta (Rhesus monkey), 1123 nucleotides long. The record is from RefSeq and is a predicted model, not a curated record. NCBI's taxonomy places the organism in Eukaryota, Metazoa, Chordata, Mammalia, Primates, Cercopithecidae.
AAUUUUCAUCUCUCAACACAGUGACUACCCACAGAGGGGUUUUUACGAAAAUGAAGAGUUCCCCCAGAAGCCUUAACUCUGAGGGUCAUCAAAAUUAGGACAAUCUCUUUUGAGCUUACACACUGCUGUCCUCAAGGGGUGUUCCGGGGUCAGUCUGAAACUGAAAUGAUAUCAGAACUCUCUGACACUUAUUUCUAGUGUCAGUAUCUGCCAGCAACUCACCAAGAGCAAAAGUCCAGGGAGCCCCUUCAGGGAGAAAGUUUCUCACUCUGGAUCCCAAUUCUACUCUGAAAAAUUCAACUGUACAACUAACAUUUUACAACAAAGAGGUUCCAUUUUAAAAACCCAAGGACACAAGGGGACAGUCAAGGUGACAAGGCUCAAAUUCUGGUAGAAAAUAUAAAUCCCCAGAUAUUCUCUUUCCCUGUCCAAGGGCAAAAGCUGACCAAGCCUUGGGAGGAAAGACUCCUGUACAGUCUAGUACACAACACUCCUUCUGCUCAUUCCUCCCAGCAACCACUCUUCUUGGGAGAUUAAUGCAGUCAAAUGUCCUCCAGUGAUGCAGAGCAUUCUCCCAUUCUGCAGGGCUUCAAAACAAAGCCAAAGAGCUGCCUGCUGUAUUUCUGUACUCUUACAACACAGGGAGACAGAGAGAUCCAAGGACUUCCAACCAUCUGUGUGCCAACCCCCAGCUACUCUAAGACAUAAAAAGUGGAACAAAGGAGUUUGUGACUGCAAAGAUGGAGAGAAAAUGAUGGCUUAAAAGAAAGGUACUCAGCAUAGUACCAGGCACAUUGUUGGUGUUCCAUGAAUGUAGAAUGAAAUCAAUCAAUCAACAGGAGUACAACUAGCACAAUGCACGAUUCUAAUGUGGCUGAAGAGCUGCCUCUGCCUCUAAGGAUCAGGGCAUUCUGUGUUUGAUGGCAGAACCUAAGUCAGAAUCCAGCACAAUCCCUGACAAGUGAGAAGAACCUCAGGACCAGACUACUAAUUACAGCACUGGAAAGAGAAUAACAGACUCCUGAUUACAGAACUACAAAGAAAAGCAGCCAGGGGGUGGCGGUGGGGAGACUAUACUUUAUAAUCAAAAUAAAUCUGAAAAUACAGACUAAAGUCUGCCUCU